RNAcentral lists this small RNA (28 nucleotides) under Bombyx mori (domestic silkworm). RNAcentral describes it as "ovarian small RNA-22169". The record is from RNAcentral. Lineage: Eukaryota; Metazoa; Arthropoda; Insecta; Lepidoptera; Bombycidae.
UAGAUUCGAUGACCUUGUUGACACACUA